UGUAAGUGGAGUUUAGAAACCUAGCUAUGUGCUCUGACAUGUUACUCAUGUCAGAGAGUAGGAACCGUAGCAGCAGUGCUGGAGUUUCUACCUCAUCAGGAGAGCUCUUCUAGCUAUUUCAGUCAGCUCUAUUUCCAGUUCCACAGCAAUUCUUCAGAAAAUAGGAUUCCCAGACAGCAUUCUGUUCUUCCAAAUCUCACUAAGGAUGAAGACAGCUGUUUGAAUGGAAGGAAAUGACUUCUUGGAAAGGAAGAGACACUCUUCUGGCCUUGGAGCUAUUGAAUGUGCUGCAGGGAGAGCAGCCUCAGGGCAGCGGGCAGGGGAGCCCGGCCAGAGGGAGCCUGCAGCACCGGGCAGGCUGCGAGAGGAGUCGGUGGCAGAUGUCUUGCCGGAAGGACGAGGUGACAGAGAGGCUCUCACUAGUGCUGAGAGGGAACCGUGCAGUCUACCAAGACCCAGAAAGUCCCUGUGUUGGAUUUCAACCAAGCCUAAAAGGAUUUAUCCAAUGACAACACGCACAUCUCCGGUCUGUUUUCUAAGGGGAAAAUAAAGGCAGUGAAAUGAGAAGGUUGGUGGGAGGCCGAUCUGUCUCUCCAGUCCAGCUACUCUGAUGGCUUGGGGGAACAAUGUGAAGUGUGGAUUUAUAGAGGUGAUGGCUAGUCAAGGUUUAGAAAGACUUGGAGACUGUGAACUUCCCAGGCAGAUCUAGGACAGCGUCAGAGCUUUGAGACUUGAGCAUCGCACAGAAGUGAACUUUGUCGCUGCGGAAAGGAGCAGCUUUCCUCCUCCAGGCAGACUGGGCUGGCACCUCUCGGAGGGGUGUUGGACAGUGGUUUUGUGGCUGUUGCUGCCUGCAAGGGAGAGGUCACCGAUGUGUUUCUUAAGCUCAAAAGAUGUAAAGCAGAAGUUAUCGUGGUACAGGACUGACCUUCACUGAGAGAUCCCUGAAGAGAGCAUUUACAUAACGGCUGCUCUUGGCUGCUGCUCCUGGCUGGACUCAUUAUUAUUUGCUCCUUACCUCCCUGAUCCAUGCAUUUCCUACUCGUAUCUUCAGCACAGAAAUGCAAGUCCUUCUCUCACUGAUACCAUCUUUACUGACUUCAUUAGAGUUCUUUUUGAUGCUUAGAUAUAAAUACACCCUUAUCUAUAUCUGUAUCUUUCUUCAGGAGCACACCUGUUUUAUUGCAGUUCUGUGGAUGCCAUUUUGUACCGAACAAUACUUUCUUUCCUCCUAAUCUCAACUAUAGUAACAAAUACAGCAGUCGUAUAUCCUUAUUCCAGCUUCAUAAAGCCUGUCCUUUAGGCUGUAAUGAAAAGGUUAGAGUA
Molecule: long non-coding RNA, 1326 nt
Organism: Dromaius novaehollandiae (emu)
Lineage: Eukaryota; Metazoa; Chordata; Aves; Casuariiformes; Dromaiidae
Exons: 6
Source: RefSeq, a predicted model, not a curated record